Molecule: long non-coding RNA, 1056 nt
Filed under: Trifolium pratense (red clover)
Lineage: Eukaryota; Viridiplantae; Streptophyta; Magnoliopsida; Fabales; Fabaceae
Description: long non-coding RNA (TPRA_LNC000876)
Source: RNAcentral
AAAAACCCUAACUAAGCAUCUCCAACAAAGCAAAGCAACAAUAAAAUUAACCCUUUCUCUCUUCCUCUUCAUCAUCAUCGCUCACACUAUCCAUCAAAUUUGAUUUUCUUUCUUCCCUAAAACUUCCAACAAUCGAGCAAAAAGGAUUCACAUCUUCAAUCUCAAUUCUCAAAUAAGCAAAAUCAAAGUGUCAACCUCAAAUCCUCAAUCUUGAGAUUGAAAAUCUAAGGUAAAGUGAGUAUUUCAAUUUUUCGAUAUUCUAUUCUCUUUUUUUCAGCUGAACCCUAAAACCCCAAUUUGUUAAAACUUCUAUUUUCUCAAUUCCUUUAUAAUCAAUUGGUGUGAAGAACAAUAGUAUUUAGUUGUGAUUUUCAUCUGUUAUGUUCCGUAGGUUAUUGUAUGUCUUGGAUUUGUUCAUCUAACUUUGAUAGUGUGUUUUUGGUGUUGGUGAUAUGGUUAUUUGUUUGGGUAGUGUCCUGCUCCUGCUAUAUUAUGCAAGUGUUAAUAUGAGUUCCACUCUUUGAAGCACGGUGUCGGACACCGACACUUAUAGUUACAUUGAAUUGUGUUAUUUUUUCAAAUUAUUAUCGGUGUCGACGUGUCAGUGUCCGUGCUUCAUAAGUUCCACUAGACCUCACUGAAUUAUAAUUUCAAAGUUAGAAGAAUUGCAUUAUGAUAUGGUCACGGGUUUGGAUGUGAAAUUGGCUUAGACUCACAGUGCAUUGUUUCGUCCUUCAACUUCAAUUGGCACUUGUUGCUUGUGCUAAGACUCACAAAAAUGUUAGUGGUUUUUUAAGUAAGGUCAAUAUGCAUGUUAAUUUCAUACGAUCUUCUAAUAAGAGACAAGAAUUGCUUUGAGACAAACAAUUAACUUAGUUCGCUAAAUUUCUUUCAUGUUUAGCCACACUAGUAGUAUUAAAUGUCUGGAUCCGCCCCUGCUGAUUUCAUAAGCUAUAUUGGAAAACUGAAAGAAAAAAGAAAAAACUUAUUUUUCAUUAGUCAUGCCAAACAGUCUCACAAAACUUAUGUCAGUAGAUAAGAUCAAAUAAGUCAAUC